UGGGGAAUAUUGGACAAUGGGCGAAAGCCUGAUCCAGCCAUGCCGCGUGUGUGAAGAAGGUCUUCGGAUUGUAAAGCACUUUAAGUUGGGAGGAAGGGCAGUAAGCGAAUACCUUGCUGUUUUGACGUUACCGACAGAAUAAGCACCGGCUAACUCUGUGCCGGCAGCCGCGGUAAUACAGAGGGUGCAAGCGUUAAUCGGAAUUACUGGGCGUAAAGCGCGCGUAGGUGGUUCGUUAAGUUGAAUGUGAAAGCCCCGGGCUCAACCUGGGAACUGCAUCCAAAACUGGCGAGCUAGAGUAGGGCAGAGGGUGGUGGAAUUUCCUGUGUAGCGGUGAAAUGCGUAGAUAUAGGAAGGAACACCAGUGGCGAAGGCGACCACCUGGGCUCAUACUGACACUGAGGUGCGAAAGCGUGGGGAGCAAACAGG
RNAcentral lists this ribosomal RNA (429 nucleotides) under Pseudomonadota bacterium. Its description in RNAcentral is "Proteobacteria bacterium partial 16S ribosomal RNA". It matches the Rfam family "Bacterial small subunit ribosomal RNA", at positions 355 to 776 of the family's 1533-position model. Lineage: Bacteria; Pseudomonadati; Pseudomonadota. The record is from RNAcentral.